This is a ribosomal RNA of 821 nucleotides. It matches the Rfam family "Bacterial small subunit ribosomal RNA", at positions 63 to 881 of the family's 1533-position model.
CGAGCGGUAACAGAUCUAGCUUGCUAGAUGCUGACGAGCGGCGGACGGGUGAGUAAUGCAUAGGAAUCUACCCGGUAGUGGGGGAUAACCUGGGGAAACCCAGGCUAAUACCGCAUACGUCCUACGGGAGAAAGGGGGCUCCGGCUCCCGCUAUCGGAUGAGCCUAUGUCGGAUUAGCUAGUUGGUGAGGUAAUGGCUCACCAAGGCAACGAUCCGUAGCUGGUCUGAGAGGAUGAUCAGCCACAUCGGGACUGAGACACGGCCCGAACUCCUACGGGAGGCAGCAGUGGGGAAUAUUGGACAAUGGGGGGAACCCUGAUCCAGCCAUGCCGCGUGUGUGAAGAAGGCCUUCGGGUUGUAAAGCACUUUCAGCGAGGAAGAACGCCUAGUGGUUAAUACCCAUUAGGAAAGACAUCACUCGCAGAAGAAGCACCGGCUAACUCCGUGCCAGCAGCCGCGGUAAUACGGAGGGUGCAAGCGUUAAUCGGAAUUACUGGGCGUAAAGCGCGCGUAGGUGGCUUGAUAAGCCGGUUGUGAAAGCCCCGGGCUCAACCUGGGAACGGCAUCCGGAACUGUCAAGCUAGAGUGCAGGAGAGGAAGGUAGAAUUCCCGGUGUAGCGGUGAAAUGCGUAGAGAUCGGGAGGAAUACCAGUGGCGAAGGCGGCCUUCUGGACUGACACUGACACUGAGGUGCGAAAGCGUGGGUAGCAAACAGGAUUAGAUACCCUGGUAGUCCACGCCGUAAACGAUGUCGACCAGCCGUUGGGUGCCUAGCGCACUUUGUGGCGAAGUUAACGCGAUAAGUCGACCGCCUGGGGAGU